ACAGGCAGUACAAUGAACAGAAAUCACUAAUUUGUCAACAAAAAUGACAGCUAACGACCGUGCGAAACCAUUUCCAAAUGUUUUUGGAAACUAGAGAAAGUCGACGAUCAACAGUCACUUCGAAUCAGCAAAGCAUAUGAAAAUGACUGAACAGUUCUCACAGCAGCGGGAAAUCACCAUGACUGAAGUGGUAGCAGGGAAGACUGGCAAGCGCUGAAAGAAUCAAGGCACAGCUCAACCCCACGCAGGCCGCCUUCCUCCUGGUCAACCAGCACAGCAUGGUGAGGGUCUCCACACCCAUCUGAGAUCUACAUGCAGGAGCACGACGAGGAUGGCUUUCUCUACUGGUCUACGCCUCUCAGGAGACCUUCGGCUGCUAGGGAGAGAGGGAAGUCUCGGCAGAGAAAGAGGGGAGAGGUGAGCAAGAGGGAGGUGAGGUUGGGUAGAAUUAGGUCUUGCCCAGCUAUGUGUUCUCUUUUGCCCCUCCAUGGAUGGUUUGAGUUCCCCUUAAGGGUCAUUACAGACAACACCAUAACUGCAUCUUUUCAUGACACUAGUAGGUCAACAGGAAUGCUAUGUGCAACAUCACCCUUCCCCUUUUUUCCUCCUAAUUAAAUCUAGUUUUCUUAGUGUAAGAUUGGGUGGAGGUACAUUAGGGGAAAAAAAUUCUUUAGUGAUCUUGGCCCCUAUUGUAUCUCUGGAGCAGUUUCACGUUUGUCAUGGAGGCAGAACUGAGCAGUUAUCGCUAGAUGGGCCAGCUGCCGAGUCAAAAUUGGCUAUCGUAAAAAAUUAUUGAAAACAGCUUUUUGGUCUUAAUUUAAGGUUAGCGGUGUGGUGGCUGUGCCAGCUAGUGACCACUGCGAGUCAUGUCAAAUGCCAACCUGUGACAUGUAAAUAAGAAUUUCUUAGCCGACUUGCCUAAUUAAAGGUUAGAAAAAUCAAUAUACAAGGACAAACUAAACAUUUAAUCUUUAAGACCUUUUUACUCACAGUUAUUGCCUAAAACAACUGAUCUUUCCCCAAUAUUGAUACAGCUUAUGGACUGUUGGCAAACUACACAAGGAAUGCUACCAUAGGCUAAUCAAGCAAUGGCUGUUUAGGUUCUUCCCUCUAUUGUACUGUUUUAAUCAAAAAUAAUUGUGAUGAAGGCUUAUUCAGUAGUAUCUGUCACCUUUUGAAUCAUAAGUCUGGGGUAGCUGACUGGUUCCAUGGGCAAGAUGAACAUCCAUAACAGCCAGCAUCACAUCCGGCCAUGAUUGGGAGUCCCAUAGGGCGGCGCAAAUAAGACUUGCCUAGUUAAGUGUAAUUGUGAUAGUAUUUAGUAGUGGAAACAAGCCAACCGCCUUUGCACAAAUUAAUACAAUAAGACUAAGCAUUGAAUUUAAAAAUGACUGAUUCUCCAUAUGCCUUUGGUAAAUUUACUUUUGAAACAAAGGGCUUGUGAUGCACUACAUACCUAACAUGUUUUGACUUAUUUACACAAUAGAUAACUUGGAAGUUUUGAAACUGUGUAAAAACAUCAAUUGUGUAUAAAUUCAAGCAGCAUCGCUACAAAUAGACCUUUUGCCAAUAAAGAUUACUUGAGCCAUGAAUGCAAUUUGGUUUACAGGUGUCACUUAAGUAAAAAGUAGGUACAAACAGAUUGUGACAAAUGCAACGUGUUAAAGGGUAAUCCAUUUAUUGUACAUUCCAAAAAUCCCCACAUCAACUGUUUGCCAUGCAUGGCUUUACUGUAAUGCAAUUGGCAGAAACACUUGUAAUGUACAUAUCCCACUUCACAUAUGGAACAUUAACUAACAUUGUCACUGUUUACAGUAAAA
Long non-coding RNA from Salvelinus namaycush (lake trout), 1820 nucleotides. RefSeq lists it as uncharacterized. Lineage: Eukaryota; Metazoa; Chordata; Actinopteri; Salmoniformes; Salmonidae. The record is from RefSeq and is a predicted model, not a curated record. The transcript has 2 exons.